CGUGUAGGCUGCUUGGAAAGUCGGAUGUGAAAGCCCUGGGCUCAACCUAGGAAGUGCAUUCGAAACUUCCAAGCUCGAGUUUCGGAGAGGGAAGGCGGAAUUCUCGGUGUAGAGGUGAAAUUCGUAGAUAUCGAGAGGAACAUCGGUGGCGAAGGCGGCCUUCUGGACGAUGACUGACGCUGAGACGCGAAAGCGUGGGGAGCAAACA
RNAcentral lists this ribosomal RNA (208 nucleotides) under uncultured delta proteobacterium. Its description in RNAcentral is "partial 16S ribosomal RNA". It matches the Rfam family "Bacterial small subunit ribosomal RNA", at positions 568 to 774 of the family's 1533-position model. Lineage: Bacteria; Deltaproteobacteria. The record is from RNAcentral.